This 429-nucleotide ribosomal RNA is filed under the name Chloroflexota bacterium. RNAcentral describes it as "Chloroflexi bacterium partial 16S ribosomal RNA". It matches the Rfam family "Bacterial small subunit ribosomal RNA", at positions 355 to 776 of the family's 1533-position model. Lineage: Bacteria; Bacillati; Chloroflexota. The record is from RNAcentral.
UGGGGAAUAUUGCACAAUGGGCGCAAGCCUGAUGCAGCCAUGCCGCGUGUGUGAAGAAGGCCUUCGGGUUGUAAAGCACUUUCAGCGGGGAGGAAGGCGAUAAGGUUAAUAACCUUGUAGAUUGACGUUACCCGCAGAAGAAGCACCGGCGAACUCCGGGCCAGCAGCCGCGGUAAUACGGAGGGUGCAAGCGUUAAUCGGAAUUACUGGGCGUAAAGCGCACGCAGGCGGUCUGUCAAGUCGGAUGUGAAAUCCCCGGGCUCAACCUGGGAACUGCAUUCGAAACUGGCAGGCUAGAGUCUUGUAGAGGGGGGUAGAAUUCCAGGUGUAGCGGUGAAAUGCGUAGAGAUCUGGAGGAAUACCGGUGGCGAAGGCGGCCCCCUGGACAAAGACUGACGCUCAGGUGCGAAAGCGUGGGGAGCAAACAGG